UGGGGAAUAUUGGACAAUGGGGGCAACCCUGAUCCAGCCAUGCCGCGUGUGUGAAGAAGGCCUUUUGGUUGUAAAGCACUUUAAGCAGUGAAGAAGACUCCAUGGUUAAUACCCAUGGACGAUGACAUUAGCUGCAGAAUAAGCACCGGCUAACUCUGUGCCAGCAGCCGCGGUAAUACAGAGGGUGCAAGCGUUAAUCGGAAUUACUGGGCGUAAAGCGAGCGUAGGUGGCUUGAUAAGUCAGAUGUGAAAGCCCCGGGCUUAACCUGGGAACGGCAUCUGAUACUGUUAGGCUAGAGUAGGUGAGAGGAAGGUAGAAUUCCAGGUGUAGCGGUGAAAUGCGUAGAGAUCUGGGUGAAUACCGAUGGCGGCGGCAGCCUUCUGGCAUCAUACUGACACUGAGGUUCGAAAGCGUGGGUAGCAAACA
RNAcentral lists this ribosomal RNA (427 nucleotides) under uncultured bacterium. Its description in RNAcentral is "partial 16S ribosomal RNA". It matches the Rfam family "Bacterial small subunit ribosomal RNA", at positions 355 to 774 of the family's 1533-position model. The record is from RNAcentral.